GCGCCACUUUCAUCUCCACCAUCCACAAGACUUAUUUAGGAGCUGAGAUGGCAUCCAGUUUUUCAACUCCAAGUGAACCAAGUGAUGAGGACGAUGUGUCACAAAGUUUGGAGCGUUUGAGCCGAGGCAGGUCCGGUGGACGGUCGAGAGGACGAGCAAGAGGGUUCAGGGUACGAGGUAGAGGCCGAGGAACACGAGCUGUAGCUUCCAGCGCUGAGCACUCGGAUAGAGUUGAACAGUAUCGCCGUGACCGUUUGGCUGCCACACAGAGACUUCUUGAUGACAUGACUGCUGAGGACGUAAGAAGGCUUGCAUCACAGCUCGUCAAAGGCAACCAGGCCUGAUUUUUGAUCUUCUAUUGCAACAGAGCAAUUCAAGCGUCUCAGAGGCAGCAGGAGUCCCAGGAAAGCCCUGGUGUACUUGUGGGUUAUGCAGGGAGAUGCCAACCGACAGGGAGAGGAUCUGCUGUGGUCAGACACCAGCUAACUGCAUCAGCAAGCUACCACAUUUUACCCAAUAUUGCCUUGAUGAAGGAUAUCUUAGGAUACAUAGGCAUUAUCGAGAGGAUGUGACAGCACUUGGCCAUGCAACAGAGCCAGGUGAUGACAACAGGCAGUACCGGUAUGCCGCCUAUAGGCAUUUCAUAUUAUGGAAGCUCGGCUCCCUGGGAGCAGGAAAUCGGCGUGUCAUCCCCAGUUGUUGUGUGUGGGCUAUUAGAGAAAAGUUUCCUGAUCCACACAGACAGUACACCGGUUUUGUUCCUGGCAUAUGAUUGUGUUUUUAGGUAAACUGCAAAUUAAUAAUAACAAAUCUGUGAAAUUUUAUAGAUUGUACAUAAUUAUUGUAUAAUUUCUGUU
Melanotaenia boesemani (Boeseman's rainbowfish) is the source of this 857-nucleotide long non-coding RNA. RefSeq lists it as uncharacterized. Lineage: Eukaryota; Metazoa; Chordata; Actinopteri; Atheriniformes; Melanotaeniidae. The transcript is spliced from 3 exons. The record is from RefSeq and is a predicted model, not a curated record.